RNAcentral lists this ribosomal RNA (492 nucleotides) under uncultured bacterium. Its description in RNAcentral is "partial 16S ribosomal RNA". It matches the Rfam family "Bacterial small subunit ribosomal RNA", at positions 29 to 507 of the family's 1533-position model. The record is from RNAcentral.
AGUGAACGCUGGCGGUAGGCCUAACACAUGCAAGUCGAACGGCAGCACAGUAAGAGCUUGCUCUUACGGGUGGCGAGUGGCGGACGGGUGAGGAAUACAUCGGAAUCUACUUUUUCGUGGGGGAUAACGUAGGGAAAUUUACGCUAAUACCGCAUACGACCUACGGGUGAAAGCAGGGGAUCUUCGGACCUUGCGCGAUUGAAUGAGCCGAUGUCGGAUUAGCUAGUUGGCGGGGUAAAGGCCCACCAAGGCGACGAUCCGUAGCUGGCCUGAGAGGAUGAUCAGCCACACUGGAACUGAGACACGGUCCAGACUCCUACGGGAGGCAGCAGUGGGGAAUAUUGGACAAUGGGCGCAAGCCUGAUCCAGCCAUACCGCGUGGGUGAAGAAGGCCUUCGGGUUGUAAAGCCCUUUUGUUGGGAAAGAAAAGCAGCAGGUUAAUACCCCGCUGUUCUGACGGUACCCAAAGAAUAAGCACCGGCUAACUUCGUG